This 472-nucleotide ribosomal RNA is filed under the name uncultured Fusobacterium sp. Its description in RNAcentral is "partial 16S ribosomal RNA". The record is from RNAcentral. Lineage: Bacteria; Fusobacteriati; Fusobacteriota; Fusobacteriia; Fusobacteriales; Fusobacteriaceae.
CACGUAUUUAGCCGUCACUUCUUCUGUUGGUACCGUCAUUUUUUCUUCCCAACUGAAAGCACUUUACAUUCCGAAAACUUCAUCGUGCACACAGAAUUGCUGGAUCAGACUCUUGGUCCAUUGCCCAAUAUUCCCCACUGCUGCCUCCCGUAGGAGUAAGGGCCGUGUCUCAGUCCCCUUGUGGCCGUUCACCCUCUCAGGCCGGCUACCCAUCAUCGCCUUGGUGAGCCGUUACCUCUCCAACUAGCUAAUGGGACGCAAAGCUCUCUCACAGUGCAUUUUAGCUUUCAUAAUUAUACGAUGCCAUAUAAUCAUAAUAUCAGGUAUUAGCAUUCGUUUCCAAAUGUUGUCCCUAGCUGUGAGGCAAGUUCUUUACGCGUUACUCACCCGUCCGCCACCCAAACCGAGUUCAAGUUGACUUGCAUGUGUUAAGCAUUCUGUCAGCGUUCAUCCUGAGCCAGGAUCAAACUCU